CCCUUAGAUGUUCUGGGCCGCACGCGCGCUACACUGACGAUGGCAACGAGUUUUUCCUUCGCCGAAAGGUGUGGGUAAUCUUUUGAAACAUCGUCGUGCUGGGGAUAGAUCAUUGCAAUUUUUGAUCUUGAACGAGGAAUUCCUAGUAAGCGCGAGUCAUCAGCUCGCGUUGAUUACGUCCCUGCCCUUUGUACACACCGCCCGUCGCUACUACCGAUUGAAUGGUUUAGUGAGGACUCCUGAUUGGCGCCGCCGCCCCGGCAACGGAGCAGCGGACUGCCGAAAAGUAGUUCAAACUUGAUCAUUUAGAGGAAGUAAAAGUCGUAACA
Molecule: ribosomal RNA, 329 nt
Filed under: uncultured eukaryote
Lineage: Eukaryota
Description: partial 18S ribosomal RNA
Rfam family: Eukaryotic small subunit ribosomal RNA
Source: RNAcentral